CACCGCGGUUAUACGAGAGACCCAAGUCGACAGACAUCGGCGUAAAGAGUGGUUACGGACCCCCAACUCCACUAAAGUCAAACACCUCCUAAACAGUCAUACGCAUUUCGAGGCAAGAGGCCCCACCACGAAAGUGACUUUAUUAUAACUCCCGAGGCCACCACAGCUACGAAA
This 174-nucleotide ribosomal RNA is filed under the name Scopelarchus sp. CBM:ZF:14754. RNAcentral describes it as "partial 12S rRNA". Lineage: Eukaryota; Metazoa; Chordata; Actinopteri; Aulopiformes; Scopelarchidae. The record is from RNAcentral.